CAGUAGCCGCGGGAAUACAGAGGGUGCGAGCGUUAAUCGGAUUUACUGGGCGUAAAGCGUGCGUAGGCGGCUUCUUAAGUCGGAUGUGAAAUCCCUGAGCUUAACUUAGGAAUUGCAUUCGAUACUGGGAAGCUAGAGUAUGGGAGAGAAUGGUAGAAUUCCAGGUGUAGCGGUGAAAUGCGUAGAGAUCUGGAGGAAUACCGAUGGCGAAGGCAGCCAUCUGGCCUAAUACUGACGCUGAGGUACGAAAGCAUGGGGAGCAAACAGGAUUAGAUACCCGGGUAGUCCCUGUCUCUUAUAC
Molecule: ribosomal RNA, 301 nt
Filed under: uncultured bacterium
Lineage: Bacteria
Description: partial 16S ribosomal RNA
Rfam family: Bacterial small subunit ribosomal RNA
Source: RNAcentral